This is a non-coding RNA of Pelobates cultripes (western spadefoot toad), 127 nucleotides long. The record is from the annotation of a GenBank genome assembly. Lineage: Eukaryota; Metazoa; Chordata; Amphibia; Anura; Pelobatidae.
UAUAUAUAUAUAUAUGUGUAUAUCUAUCUCUCUCUAUAUAUGUGUAUAUGUAUCUCUCUCUAUAUAUGAGAGAGAGAUACAUAUACACAUAUAUAGAGAGAUAGAUAUACACAUAUAUAUAUAUUUG